AGUGAACGCUGGCGGUAGGCCUAACACAUGCAAGUCGAACGGCAGCACAGUAAGAGCUUGCUCUUACGGGUGGCGAGUGGCGGACGGGUGAGGAAUACAUCGGAAUCUACUUUUUCGUGGGGGAUAACGUAGGGAAACUUACGCUAAUACCGCAUACGACCUACGGGUGAAAGCAGGGGAUCUUCGGACCUUGCGCGAUUGAAUGAGCCGAUGUCGGAUUAGCUGUUGGCGGGGUAAAGGCCCACCAAGGCGACGAUCCGUAGCUGGUCUGAGAGGAUGAUCAGCCACACUGGAACUGAGACACGGUCCAGACUCCUACGGGAGGCAGCAGUGGGGAAUAUUGGACAAUGGGCGCAAGCCUGAUCCAGCCAUACCGCGUGGGUGAAGAAGGCCUUCGGGUUGUAAAGCCCUUUUGUUGGGAAAGAAAAGCAGCAGGUUAAUACCCCGCUGUUCUGACGGUACCCAAAGAAUAAGCACCGGCUAACUUCGUG
This 491-nucleotide ribosomal RNA is filed under the name uncultured bacterium. RNAcentral's name for it is "partial 16S ribosomal RNA". It matches the Rfam family "Bacterial small subunit ribosomal RNA", at positions 29 to 507 of the family's 1533-position model. The record is from RNAcentral.